Molecule: long non-coding RNA, 293 nt
Organism: Balaenoptera ricei (Rice's whale)
Lineage: Eukaryota; Metazoa; Chordata; Mammalia; Artiodactyla; Balaenopteridae
Exons: 3
Source: RefSeq, a predicted model, not a curated record
GGGAUUGUUGAAGAGCACCUGAGCCCCGGGGCACAGAGGCCCUCACGUGGUCGGCAUUAUUCACCAGCCAGCACCUUUCAAGGGGACGUGUCCCAGGACAGCGCCAUGCAAAGAUGGAAUGAACUGCCAGAGGAAGGAAUGAGCUCUCUGUCCCUGGAGAUUGAGCUCCAAGAGGGUGGGCCCUUGUCUGUCUCAUUCACUGCUCUAUCUGUCGUAUCUAGUGGGUAUAUGAGAUACAAUGCAAUCUUUUUUUUUUAAUUUUUGUAUUCUUUGACGAGAGGGAGGGAAAGGGA